Molecule: ribosomal RNA, 489 nt
Filed under: uncultured bacterium
Lineage: Bacteria
Description: partial 16S ribosomal RNA
Rfam family: Bacterial small subunit ribosomal RNA
Source: RNAcentral
GACGAACGCUGGCGGCGUGCUUAACACAUGCAAGUCGAACGGUAAAGGGCCCAGCUUGCUGGUUCUUGAUGAGUGGCGCGCGUGUGAGUCACGCGUGAGUCCCCUGCCCCCUUCUUCUGUAUCACCGCAUAACAGUGUGGCUAAUCCGGGAUAUUCUCCGUCUGUCUCAUGGCGGUCCCGGUGAAGCUGUUGCUUCGGUUGGAGAUGCGCUCGCGGCCUAUCUGCUUGUUGGUGUGGUGAUGGCCUACCAUGGCGGUGACUGGUAGGCGGCCGGAGAGGGUGGAGGGUCACAGGGGGACUGAGCAAAGGGCCAGACUGCUACGGGAGGCAGUAGUGCGGAAGAUUGCACAAGGGGCGCAAGCCUGAUGCAGCGAAGCCGCGUGAGGGAUGGAGGCCUGCGGGUUGUAGGCCUCUGUCGCCAGUGAAGCAGGCGUGUUUGAUGUGGGUGGGGUGACGGUAGCUGGAUAAGAAGCGCCGGCUAACUACGUG